GUACACUCCUGCGGGAGGCAGCAGUGGGGAAUAUUGGACAAUGGGCGCAAGCCUGAUCCAGCCAUGCCGCGUGAGUGAUGAAGGCCCUAGGGUUGUAAAGCUCUUUCACCGGUGAAGAUAAUGACGGUAACCGGAGAAGAAGCCCCGGCUAACUUCGUGCCAGCAGCCGCGGUAAUACGAAGGGGGCUAGCGUUGUUCGGAUUUACUGGGCGUAAAGCGCACGUAGGCGGACUAUUAAGUCAGGGGUGAAAUCCCGGGGCUCAACCCCGGAACUGCCUUUGAUACUGGUAGUCUUGAGUUCGAGAGAGGUGAGUGGAAUUCCGAGUGUAGAGGUGAAAUUCGUAGAUAUUCGGAGGAACACCAGUGGCGAAGGCGGCUCACUGGCUCGAUACUGACGCUGAGGUGCGAAAGCGUGGGGAGCAAACAGGAUUAGAAACCCUUGUAGUCCCAU
RNAcentral lists this ribosomal RNA (451 nucleotides) under uncultured organism. RNAcentral's name for it is "partial 16S ribosomal RNA". It matches the Rfam family "Bacterial small subunit ribosomal RNA", at positions 331 to 798 of the family's 1533-position model. The record is from RNAcentral.